UACGUAGGGGGCUAGCGUUGUCCGGAAUCAUUGGGCGUAAAGAGCGUGUAGGCGGCCCGGUAAGUCCGCUGUGAAAGUCGGGGGCUCAACCCUCGAAUGCCGGUGGAUACUGUCGGGCUAGAGUGCGGAAGAGGCGAGUGGAAUUCCUGGUGUAGCGGUGAAAUGCGCGGAUAUCAGGAGGAACACCAAUUGCGAAGGCAGCUCGCUGGGACGUUACUGACGCUGAGACGCGAAAGCGUGGGGAGCAAACAGG
RNAcentral lists this ribosomal RNA (253 nucleotides) under uncultured bacterium. Its description in RNAcentral is "partial 16S ribosomal RNA". It matches the Rfam family "Bacterial small subunit ribosomal RNA", at positions 524 to 776 of the family's 1533-position model. The record is from RNAcentral.